GAUGAACGCUGGCGGCGUGCCUAAUACAUGCCAGUCGAGCGAACAGAUAAGGAGCUUGCUCCUUUGACGUUAGCGGCGGACGGGUGAGUAACACGUGUGUAACCUACCUAUAAGACUGGGAUAACUUCGGGAAACCGGAGCUAAUACCGGAUAACAUUUGGAACCGCAUGGUUCUAAAGUGAAAGAUGGUUUUGCUAUCACUUAUAGAUGGACCCGCGCCGUAUUAGCUAGUUGGUAGGGUAACGGCUUACCAAGGCAACGAUACGUAGCCGACCUGAGAGGGUGAUAGGCCACACUGGAACUGAGACACGGUCCAGACUACUACGGGAGGCAGCAGUAGGGAAUCUUCCGCAAUGGGCGAAAGCCUGACGGAGCAACGCCGCGUGAGUGAUGAAGGGUUUCGGCUCGUAAAACUCUGUUAUUAGGGAAGAACAAAUGUGUAAGUAACUGUGCACGUCUUGACGGUACCUAAUCAGAAAGCCACGGCUAACUACGUG
RNAcentral lists this ribosomal RNA (497 nucleotides) under uncultured bacterium. RNAcentral describes it as "partial 16S ribosomal RNA". It matches the Rfam family "Bacterial small subunit ribosomal RNA", at positions 28 to 507 of the family's 1533-position model. The record is from RNAcentral.